This 326-nucleotide ribosomal RNA is filed under the name uncultured eukaryote. Its description in RNAcentral is "partial 18S ribosomal RNA". It matches the Rfam family "Eukaryotic small subunit ribosomal RNA", at positions 1470 to 1796 of the family's 1831-position model. The record is from RNAcentral.
CCCUUAGAUGUUCUGGGCUGCACGCGCGCUACACUGAUGCACUCAACGAGUUUACGACCUUGCCCGAUAGGGUUGGGUAAUCUUUUUAAAAUGCAUCGUGAUGGGGAUAGAUUAUUGCAAUUAUUAAUCUUCAACGAGGAAUUCCUAGUAAGCGCGAGUCAUCAGCUCGUGCUGCUUACGUCCCUGCCCUUUGUACACACCGCCCGUCGCUCCUACCGAUUGAGUGCUCAGGUGAAUAAUUCGGACUGCAGCAAUGUUUGGAUCCCGAACGUUGCAGCGGAAAGUUUAGUGAACCUUAUCACUUAGAGGAAGGAGAAGUCGUAACA